CUACGGGCGGCAGCAGCAAGGAAUUUUGUGCAAUGGGCGAAAGCCUGACACAGCGACGCCGCGUGAGGGAUGACGGCCUUCGGGUUGUAAACCUCUUUUUUCAGGGACGAAUAAUGACGGUACCUGAAGAAUAAGUCUCGGCUAACUACGUGCCAGCAGCCGCGGUAAUACGUAGGAGGCGAGCGUUAUCCGAAUUUACUGGGCGUAAAGAGAGCGCGGGCGACCCUACAAGUCGAAUGUUAAAGCUCCCGGCUUAACUGGGAGAUACUAUUCGAUACUGUAGGGAUUGAGGACAGCAAGGGGAGACGGAAUUCCCGGUGUAGUGGUGAAAUACGUAGAUAUCGGGAGGAACACCAGUAGCGAAAGCGGUCUCCUGGGCUGUUGCUGACGCUGAGGCUCGAAAGCGUGGGGAGCGAACAGGAUUAGAUACCCCGGUAGUC
This 440-nucleotide ribosomal RNA is filed under the name uncultured bacterium. Its description in RNAcentral is "partial 16S ribosomal RNA". It matches the Rfam family "Bacterial small subunit ribosomal RNA", at positions 339 to 795 of the family's 1533-position model. The record is from RNAcentral.